This 537-nucleotide ribosomal RNA is filed under the name soil fungal sp. DM2-238. RNAcentral's name for it is "eukaryotic LSU rRNA". It matches the Rfam family "Eukaryotic large subunit ribosomal RNA", at positions 101 to 653 of the family's 3401-position model. Lineage: Eukaryota; Fungi. The record is from RNAcentral.
GGCAGAGCUCAAAUUUGAAAGCUGGCUCCUUCGGGGCCCGCAUUGUAAUUUGCAGAGGAUGCUUCGGGAGCGGCCCCCAUCUAAGUGCCCUGGAACGGGCCGUCAUAGAGGGUGAGAAUCCCGUCUGGGAUGGGGUGCCCGCGCCCGUGUGAAGCUCCUUCGACGAGUCGAGUUGUUUGGGAAUGCAGCUCUAAAUGGGUGGUAAAUUUCAUCUAAAGCUAAAUACUGGCCGGAGACCGAUAGCGCACAAGUAGAGUGAUCGAAAGAUGAAAAGCACUUUGAAAAGAGAGUUAAACAGCACGUGAAAUUGUUGAAAGGGAAGCGCUUGCGACCAGACUCGCCCGCGGGGUUCAGCCGGCAUUCGUGCCGGUGUACUUCCCCGCGGGCGGGCCAGCGUCGGUUUGGGCGGCCGGUCAAAGGCCCUCGGAAUGUAACGCCCCCCGGGGCGUCUUAUAGCCGAGGGUGCCAUGCGGCCAGCCCGGACCGAGGAACGCGCUUCGGCUCGGACGCUGGCAUAAUGGUCGUAAGCGACCCGUC